This 87-nucleotide transfer RNA is filed under the name Desertifilum sp. SIO1I2. RNAcentral's name for it is "tRNA-OTHER". The record is from RNAcentral. Lineage: Bacteria; Bacillati; Cyanobacteriota; Cyanophyceae; Desertifilales; Desertifilaceae.
GGCAGGGGUUCUAGGACUUGAUACUAUUGCACUCGAAAUGCGGCAAGCCUUAACAGGGCUUCGGGGGUUCAAAUCCCCCCCUCUCCG